Molecule: ribosomal RNA, 1660 nt
Filed under: Saurida nebulosa (clouded lizardfish)
Lineage: Eukaryota; Metazoa; Chordata; Actinopteri; Aulopiformes; Synodontidae
Description: 16S ribosomal RNA
Rfam family: Bacterial large subunit ribosomal RNA
Source: RNAcentral
ACCCAACAGCUAGCCCCCCCAUCACAUAAUUAAAUAUACAAACCUAUUAAUAAAAACAAAAUAAAUCAUUCUUCCUCCUUAGUAUGGGCGACAGAACAGGACUACUUGGAGCCACAGAAAAAGUACCGCAAGGGAAUGCUGAAAAAGAAAUGAAACAAUUAUUUUAAGUAGGAAAAAGCAGAGACUUACACUCGUACCUUUUGCAUCAUGGUUAAGCCAGUAAACUUAAAGCAAAGAGCCCUUUAGUUUUACUUCCCGAAACCAGACGAGCUACUCCGAGACAGCCUAUCAAGGGCGAACCCGUCUCUGUGGCAAAAGAGUGGGAUGAGCUCCGAGUAGAGGUGAAAAGCCUACCGAGCCUGGUUAUAGCUGGUUGCCUGAGAAAUGAAUAGAAGUUCAGCCCUCCAAUUUCCCCUCCCACCAUUCACCGGCCAAAAGGAAAUUAGAGGAGUUAGUCAAAGAAGGUUCAGCUUCUUUGAAACAAGACACAACUUUACUAGGAGAUAAAAGAUCAUAAUAAACCCAAGGAACCUUAUUUUAGUGGGCCUAAAAGCAGCCACCUACGGAGAAAGCGUUAAAGCUUAAAUAAAAUCCUACCAAUUAUACCGAUAUUCAAUCUUUCUCCCUUACCAUAUCAGGCUAUUCCAUGCCAACAUGGAAGAAAUACUGCUUAAAUGAGUAAUAAGAGGAACACGACCCUCUCCUCGCACACGUGUAAGUCGGAACGGACCACCCGCCGACAAUUAAUGGACCCAAAAGAGGGCAUUGUGGUAAAACCCAAUAAACUAGAUAACCCCACAAAAACAACCAUUAACCCCACACAGGAGUGCACCUAAGGAAAGACUAAAAGAUGAGGAAGGAACUCGGCAACCAGGAGCCUCGCCUGUUUACCAAAAACAUCGCCUCUUGCAAAAACAAAGUAUAAGAGGUCCCGCCUGCCCUGUGACUCGAGAGUUUAACGGCCGCGGUAUCUUGACCGUGCGAAGGUAGCGCAAUCACUUGUCCUUUAAAUGAGGACCCGUAUGAAUGGCAUAACGAGGGCUCAACUGUCUCCCCCAUCCUGUCAAUGAAAUUGAUCUUCCCGUGCAGAAGCGGGAAUUUACCCAUAAGACGAGAAGACCCUAUGGAGCUUUAGAUAUUAGGCAGCCCACAACAAACACUCCCAGUAACCCGGAGCUGAAUUCAAUGUGUGUGUCCUGCCGGAAUGUCUUUGGUUGGGGCGACCGUGGAAAAUAAAAAUCUUCCAUGAGGACUGGGAACACCUUCCCAAAACUAAGGGCCCCCGCCCUAAGUAGCAGAAGAUCUGACCUAAAUGAUCCGGCCUACGGCCGAUCAACGGACCGAGUUACCCUAGGGAUAACAGCGCAAUCCCCUCCUAGAGCCCCCAUCGACGAGAGGGUUUACGACCUCGAUGUUGGAUCAGGACAUCCUAAUGGUGCAGCCGCUAUUAAGGGUUCGUUUGUUCAACGAUUAAAGUCCUACGUGAUCUGAGUUCAGACCGGAGUAAUCCAGGUCAGUUUCUAUCUAUGGAUAUGAUCUUUUCCAGUACGAAAGGACCGAAAAGGGAGGGCCCAUGCCACUGGUAUGCCCUACCCCCACCUGAAGAAACCAACUAAAACAAGAAAGGGGACAUACCCUAACUUGUUAAAGAAUAUAACAU